RNAcentral lists this ribosomal RNA (458 nucleotides) under uncultured bacterium. RNAcentral describes it as "partial 16S ribosomal RNA". It matches the Rfam family "Bacterial small subunit ribosomal RNA", at positions 28 to 507 of the family's 1533-position model. The record is from RNAcentral.
GAUCAACGCUGGCGGCGUGCAUGAGACAUGCAAGUCGAACGAAGGAUCGGGCUUGCUCGAUCCUUAGUGGCGGACGGCUGAGUAACGCGUAGGUGACCUACCCCGAAGUGGGGAAUAACUGCCCGAAAGGGUGGCUAAUACCGCAUGUGGUCGCACGUUCAUUCGUGCGAGUAAAGCCGCAAGGCGCUUCGGGAGGGGCCUGCGUCCGAUUAGCUCGUUGGUGGGGUAAAGGCUUACCAAGGCGACGAUCGGUAGGUGGCCUGAGAGGACGAUCACCCAGACUGGGACUGAGACACGGCCCAGACUCCUACGGGAGGCAGCAGUCGGGAAUUUUGCUCAAUGGGGGAAACCCUGAAGCAGCAACGCCGCGUGAGGGAUGAAGGCCUUCGGGUUGUAAACCUCUUUUGUCAGGGACGAUGAUGACGGUACCUGGCGAAUAAGCCACGGCUAACUACGUG